UAUAGUUUUAUUAAUAUUUGAUUAGGAUUUGUUUAGGACUUGUUUAGAAUUUAGGAUUUUAUUAGGAUUUGAUCUAAGGUUUAAGUUUGAUUAGGAUUUCAUUAGGAUUUAGGAUUUUAUUAAGAUUUGGUCUAAGAUUAGAUUUAGGAUUGGAAUUUAGGAUUUGAUUAGAGUUUGAUUAGAAUUUAAUUAGGAUUUGAUUUAAGAUUUUAUUAGAAUUUAUUGAGGAUUGUAUUAGGAUUUGAUUAAGAUUCAAUUAAGAUUCUAUUUU
Molecule: long non-coding RNA, 271 nt
Filed under: Physcomitrium patens
Lineage: Eukaryota; Viridiplantae; Streptophyta; Bryopsida; Funariales; Funariaceae
Description: long non-coding RNA (PPAT_LNC010110)
Source: RNAcentral